Diabrotica virgifera virgifera (western corn rootworm) is the source of this 889-nucleotide long non-coding RNA. RefSeq lists it as uncharacterized. Lineage: Eukaryota; Metazoa; Arthropoda; Insecta; Coleoptera; Chrysomelidae. The record is from RefSeq and is a predicted model, not a curated record. The transcript is spliced from 2 exons.
ACAGUGAUGUGGGAGAGAGGGGAUGUGACCUACGGCGACGCAGAUGGGAUCGCUUCCGCCAUGUUGGAUGGAGCUCAUGUAGCAUUAGUAGUAGUGUAGCGUUGAUGCCUGUAAAAGUUCAAUUUUUUAAAGUUUUGAGUGAGUUUAGGGUUAUUUAUUGAUAAUAAUAGUACCAUGGCUUCGUGUGCUUUUCUUCUGUGUACAAAUAACAAACGAAAGAACCAGAAAAACUCCAGGGGAUAACAUUUCAUAGGUUAGUAUGCACCUACAAACAGUGUACAGAGCCGUAUUACUUCAAUUGUAGUAAUGCUGCCUGUAAAAAUAAUAGGUAAUUUUUUAACUGGGUUUAUAUUAUGGUUGUAGUUUUCCCAAACAUGUUGAAAGGAGAAAGGCUUGGGUACAGUUUGUACACAGAGAGAAUUGGGAACCAGCCACCAGUAGCAAAUUGUGUACGAAACAUUUUGCCGAGAGGGAUGUAGAUCGGACUUCAUUAGUUUGUAUUCGUUUGCGAGAAAACGCAGUCCCUACAAUUGGUGAAUCUCAGUUUUUGGAAAAAAUCAAUAUUUCCUCCCUUCGGGAGCCUCCAGCCUCAUACAUCACUGGUGGUGCUACUUCAAGGCAAAAAGGAACAGGAUGCAUCCAACAGAGAGCAGCACCCAACAUCUCUAGUUGCAGCGACCUGAGGCCACAACAUCUGCCCAGGUCUACAAGUCUACAGCAGUACCAUUCAACAUCAAGGAGUUACCAUCGAACCAAUACCAACAGCUAUAAGUAUAAUCUAAAAAUUGUUAGUUUUUGGCAAGGAUUUGAAUAUAUUAUGUUAUUGAAUUUAAUAAGUCAUUAUUUUAAUUAUAUCUUUAUUGAAUAAUAAACAUGAUUAGUUAAAAUA